This 1172-nucleotide ribosomal RNA is filed under the name metagenome. RNAcentral describes it as "SSU rRNA". It matches the Rfam family "Eukaryotic small subunit ribosomal RNA", at positions 454 to 1777 of the family's 1831-position model. The record is from RNAcentral.
ACUCAGGGAGGUAGUGACCAGAAAUAACGACGACGGGUUUCGAUUCGUCGAUUGCAAUGAGCACAAUGUAAAAUUCUUAGCGAGUACCGACUGGAGGGCAAGUCUGGUGCCAGCAGCCGCGGUAAUUCCAGCUCCAGUAGCGUAUAUUAAAGUUGUUGCAGUUAAAAAGCUCGUAGUUGGACGUCUCUGCGACACGCAGCUCCGCCACGCAACUAGAUACGUUCUUAACUGAACGGUCUAGACCUGCGGGCCCUUUACCUUGAGGAAACUAGAGUGUUUAAGGCAGGCUGAGCCUGAAUACUGCAGCUGGGAAUAAUGCGCACGACUGUCUUGGCGAGGCAGCUCCACACUUUUAAUAGGAACAGUUGGGGGCAUUCGUACUCAGCAGUCAGAGGUGAAAUUCUUGGAUUUGCUGAAGACGGACUAAUGCGAAGGCAUUUGCCAAGGAUGUUUUCAUUAAUCAAGAACGAAAGUUAAGGGAUCCAAGACGAUCAGAUACCGUCCUAGUCUUAACCAUAAACGAUGCCGACUAGGGAUCGGGAGAGACGUACAAACUCUCUCGGCACCUCACGAGAAAUCCAAGUCUUUGGGUUCUGGGGGGAGUAUGGUCGCAAGACUGAAACUUAAAGGAAUUGACGGAAGGGCACCACAAGGAGUGGAGCCAGCGGCUUAAUUUGACCCAACACGGGGAAACUUACCAGGUCCAGACAUAGUGAGGAUUGACAGAUUGACAGCUCUUUCUUGAUCCUAUGGGUGGUGGUGCAUGGCCGUUCCUAGUUGGUGGAGUGAUCUGUCUGGCUAAUUCCGAUAACGAACGAGACCUCAGCCUGCUAACUAGAUCUUCUUAGAGGGACUUCCUGCUCGCGUGGGAGGAAGUGAGGCAAUAACAGGUCUGUGAUGCCCUUAGAUGUCCUGGGCCGCACGCGCGCUACACUGACGCAACCUGCAAGUUCCAAGCCUGUCAAGGUCUGGCAAACUGCCAACUGCGUCGUAGUUGGAACUGACCCUUGCAAUUCUUGGUCACAAACCAGGAAUUCCUAGUAAGCGCAAGUCAUCAGCUUGCACUGACUAAGUCCCUGCCCUUUGUACACACCGCCCGUCGCUCCUACCGAUUCCGAGUGAUCAGGUGAACCUCUCGGACCCUGGAAGUUAAGUGAACCUUAUCACUUAGA